This 1113-nucleotide ribosomal RNA is filed under the name Nostoc edaphicum CALU 760. Its description in RNAcentral is "bacterial SSU rRNA". It matches the Rfam family "Bacterial small subunit ribosomal RNA", at positions 369 to 1494 of the family's 1533-position model. Lineage: Bacteria; Bacillati; Cyanobacteriota; Cyanophyceae; Nostocales; Nostocaceae. The record is from RNAcentral.
CAAUGGGCGAAAGCCUGACGGAGCAAUACCGCGUGAGGGAGGAAGGCUCUUGGGUCGUAAACCUCUUUUCUCAGGGAAGAACACAAUGACGGUACCUGAGGAAUAAGCAUCGGCUAACUCCGUGCCAGCAGCCGCGGUAAUACGGAGGAUGCAAGCGUUAUCCGGAAUGAUUGGGCGUAAAGCGUCCGCAGGUGGCUAUGUAAGUCUGCUGUUAAAGAGUCUAGCUCAACUAGAUAAGAGCAGUGGAAACUACAAGGCUAGAGUACGUUCGGGGCAGAGGGAAUUCCUGGUGUAGCGGUGAAAUGCGUAGAGAUCAGGAAGAACACCGGUGGCGAAGGCGCUCUGCUAGGCCGUAACUGACACUGAGGGACGAAAGCUAGGGGAGCGAAUGGGAUUAGAUACCCCAGUAGUCCUAGCCGUAAACGAUGGAUACUAGGCGUGGCUUGUAUCGACCCGAGCCGUGCCGUAGCUAACGCGUUAAGUAUCCCGCCUGGGGAGUACGCCGGCAACGGUGAAACUCAAAGGAAUUGACGGGGGCCCGCACAAGCGGUGGAGUAUGUGGUUUAAUUCGAUGCAACGCGAAGAACCUUACCAAGGCUUGACAUGUCGCGAAUCUCGGUGAAAGCUGAGAGUGCCUUCGGGAGCGCGAACACAGGUGGUGCAUGGCUGUCGUCAGCUCGUGUCGUGAGAUGUUGGGUUAAGUCCCGCAACGAGCGCAACCCUCGUUUUUAGUUGCCAGCAUUAAGUUGGGCACUCUAGAGAGACUGCCGGUGACAAACCGGAGGAAGGUGGGGAUGACGUCAAGUCAGCAUGCCCCUUACGCCUUGGGCUACACACGUACUACAAUGCUCCGGACAGAGGGCAGCAAGCCAGCGAUGGCAAGCAAAUCCCGUAAACCGGAGCUCAGUUCAGAUCGCAGGCUGCAACUCGCCUGCGUGAAGGAGGAAUCGCUAGUAAUUGCAGGUCAGCAUACUGCAGUGAAUUCGUUCCCGGGCCUUGUACACACCGCCCGUCACACCAUGGAAGCUGGUAGUGCCCGAAGUCAUUACUCCAACCUUUCGGGGAGGAGGAUGCCUAAGGCAGGACUGGUGACUGGGGGUGAAGUCGUAACAG